This is a long non-coding RNA of Oncorhynchus nerka (sockeye salmon), 3509 nucleotides long. RefSeq lists it as uncharacterized. The record is from RefSeq and is a predicted model, not a curated record. Lineage: Eukaryota; Metazoa; Chordata; Actinopteri; Salmoniformes; Salmonidae. The transcript is spliced from 2 exons.
GGAUCAUCCAACCGGGUCAUCAGGAGGGAUCAACCAACCGGGUCAUCAGGAGGGAUCAUCCAACCGGGUCAUCAGGAGGGAUCAACCAACCGGGUCAUCAGGAGGGAUCAACCAACCGGGUCAUCAGGAGGGAUCAUCCAACCAGGUCAUCAGGAGGGAUCAACCAACCAGGUCAUCAGGAGGGAUCAUCCAACCAGGUCAUCAGGAGGGAUCAUCCAACCGGGUCAUCAGGAGGGAUCAACCAACCAGGUCAUCAGGAGGGAUCAACCAACCGGGUCAUCAGGAGGGAUCAACCAACCGGGUCAUCAGGAGGGAUCAUCCAACCGGGUCAUCAGGAGGGAUCAUCCAACCAGGUCAUCAGGAGGGAUCAACCAACCAGGUCAUCAGGAGGGAUCAGCCAACCGGGUAAUCAGGAGGGAUCAUCCAACCAGGUCAUCAGGAGGGAUCAGCCAACCGGGUAAUCAGGAGGGAUCAUCCAACCAGGUCAUCAGGAGGGAUCAACCAACCGGGUCAUCAGGAGGGAUCAGCCAACCAGGUCAACCAAUGAAUUAUACUUGUGAAGAAGAAAAUGUACUACUUCGUUUACAUUUAGAGGAUGUUCUCAUCCAGAGCGACUUACGAUGGAGAUCUCCAUGGUGCUGCCCAUGCACCUCACAGACGCCAUAAUGAGGCAGAGAUGUCUAUCCAAGACAAUGGAACGUGCACCUCACAGACGCCAUAAUGAGGCAGAGAUGUCUAUCCAAGUCAAUGAAACGUGCACCUCACAGACGCCAUAAUGAGGCAGAGAUGUCUAUCCAAGACAAUGGAACGUGCACCUCACAGACGCCAUAAUGAGGCAGAGAUGUCUAUCCAAGACAAUGGAACGUGCACCUCACAGACGCCAUAAUGAGGCAGAGAUGUCUAUCCAAGUCAAUGAAACGUGCACCUCACAGACGCCAUAAUGAGGCAGAGAUGUCUAUCCAAGUCAAUGAAACGUGCACCUCACAGACGCCAUAAUGAGACAGAGAUGUCUAUCCAAGACAAUGGAACGUGCACCUCACAGACGCCAUAAUGAGGCAGAGAUGUCUAUCCAAGACAAUGGAACGUGCACCUCACAGACGCCAUAAUGAGGCAGAGAUGACUAUCCAAGUCAAUGGAACGUGCACCUCACAGACGCCAUAAUGAGGCAGAGAUGUCUAUCCAAGUCAAUGGAACGUGCACCUCACAGACGCCAUAAUGAGACAGAGAUGUCUAUCCAAGUCAAUGGAACAUACUUGGGGUGGCAGGGUAGCCUAGUGGUUAGAGUGUAGAGGAGAUAGGUAGCCUAGUGGUUAGAGUGUAGAGGAGGCAGGGUAGCCUAGUGGUUAGAGUGUAGAGGCGGCAGGGUAGCAUAGUGGUUAGAGUGUAGAGGAGAUAGGUAGCCUAGUGGUUAGAGUGUAGAGGAGGUAGGGUAGCCUAGUGGUUAGAGUAGAGGGGUGGCAGGGUAGCCUAGUGGUUAGAGUAUAGAGGAGAUAGGUAGCCUAGUGGUUAGAGUGUAGAGGAGAUAGGUAGCCUAGUGGUUAGAGUGUAGAGGAGGCAGGGUAGCCUAGUGGUUAGAGUGUAGAGGAGGCAGGGUAGCCUAGUGGUUAGAGUGUAGAGGAGGCAGGGUAGCCUAGUGGUUAGAGUGUAGAGGCGGCAGGGUAGCCUAGUGGUUAGAGUGGAGGGGUGGCAGGGUAGCCUAGUGGUUAGAGUGUAGAGGAGAUAGGUAGCCUAGUGGUUAGAGUGUAGAGGAGAUAGGUAGCCUAGUGGUUAGAGUGUAGAGGAGGCAGGGUAGCCUAGUGGUUAGAGUGUAGAGGCAGCAGGGUAGCCUAGUGGUUAGAGUGUAGAGGCGGCAGGGUAGCCUAGUGGUUAGAGUGUAGAGGCGGCAGGGUAGCCUAGUGGUUAGAGUGUAGAGGCGGCAGGGUAGCCUAGUGGUUAGAGUGUAGAGGCGGCAGGGUAGCCUAGUGGUUAGAGUGUAGAGGCGGUAGGGUAGCCUAGUGGUUAGAGUGUAGAGGGGGCAGGGUAGCCUAGUGGUUAGAGUGUAGAGGCGGCAGGGUAGCCUAGUGGUUAGAGUGAAGGGGUGGCAGGGUAGCCUAGUGGUUAGAGUGUAGAGGAGGCAGGGUAGCCUAGUGGUUAGAGUGAAGGGGUGGCAGGGUAGCCUAGUGGUUAGAGAGUUGGACUAGUAACUGAAAAGGUUGCUAGAUCAAAUCCCCGAGCUGACAAGGUAAAAAUCUGUAAUUCUGCCCCCUGAACUGUCAGUUAACCCACUGUUCCUAGGCGGUCAUUGAAAAUAAGAAUUUGUUCUUAACUGACUUGCCUAGUUAAAUAAAUACUCUCACAGAUGCCAUAAUGAGACAGAGAUGUCAAUGGAACAUAUUUGGAGAGGCAGGUAGCCCAGUUGUGAGAGAGUUGGACUAGUAACCAAAAGGUUGCUAUAUCAAAUCCCCGUGUUGACAAAUUAACAAUCUGUUGUUCUACCCCUGAACAAGGCAGUUAACGCACUGUUCCUAGGCUGUCAUUGAAAUCCCAAGGCAUUCCUAGUUGAUUGCUAUUGACCGGUUGAUCUCCCAAGGCAUUCCUAGUCGAUUGCUAUUGACCGGUUGAGCUCCCAAGGCAUUCCUAGUCGAUUGCUAUUGACCGGUUGAUCUCCUAAGGCAUUCCUAGUCGAUUGCUAUUGACCGGUUGAUCUCCUAAGGCAUUCCUAGUUGAUUGCUAUUGACCGGUUGAUCUCCUAAGGCAUUCCUAGUUGAUUGCUAUUGACCGGUUGAUCUCCUAAGGCAUUCCUAGUUGAUUGCUAUUGACCGGUUGAUCUCCCAAGGCAUUCCUAGUUGAUUGCUAUUGACCGGUUGAUCUCCUAAGGCAUUCCUAGUCGAUUGUCAAACAGUUCUGUCAAACCCAAAGCCUCUAGCGGAACCGGGUACGAGAUUGUUCAGAAACUGUUCAUAUGUCUGAAGGUGCAAACUGUUCAUAUGUCUGAAGGUACAAACUGUUCAUAUGUCUGAAGGUACAAACUGUUCAUGUCUGAAGGUACAAACUGUUCAUGUCUGAAGGUACAAACUGUUCAUAUGUCUGAAGGUACAAACUGUUCAUAUGUCUGAAAGUACAAACUGUUCAUGUCUGAAGGUACAAACUGUUCAUAUGUCUGAAGGUACAAACUGUUCAUGUCUGAAGGUACAAACUGUUCAUAUGUCUGAAGGUACAAACUGUUCAUAUGUCUGAAGGUACAAACUGUUCAUAUGUCUGAAGGUACAAACUGUUCAUAUGUCUGAAGGUACAAACUGUUCAUAUGUCUGAAGGUACAAACUGUUCAUAUGUCUGAAGGUGCAAACUGUUCAUAUGUCUGAAGGUACAAACUGUUCAUAUGUCUGAAGGUACAAACUGUUCAUGUCUGAAGGUACAAACUCUGCCUUCCCGGUGGGGCCUGGAAUUCAAAUCAAGUGUCAUGGAAGGCUCAGAUGAUCAUAUCUGCAGUAACGUAGCAGAUGUAAAAAAUAAAGCUAAAUCAAAGUUGA